This 358-nucleotide ribosomal RNA is filed under the name Haptophyta environmental samples. RNAcentral's name for it is "SSU rRNA". It matches the Rfam family "Eukaryotic small subunit ribosomal RNA", at positions 595 to 957 of the family's 1831-position model. The record is from RNAcentral. Lineage: Eukaryota; Haptophyta.
UAGCGUAUAUUAAAGUUGUUGCAGUUAAAAAGCUCGUAGUCGGAUUUCGGGGCGGGCCGAGCGGUCUGCCGAUGGGUAUGCACUGUUCGGCGCGUCCUUCUUUCCGGAGACCGCGCCUACUCUUAGCUGAGCGGGCGCGGGAGACGGAUCGUUUACUUUGAAAAAAUCAGAGUGUUUCAAGCAGGCAGCUCGCUCUUGCAUGGAUUAGCAUGGGAUAAUGAAAUAGGACUCUGGUGCUAUUUUGUUGGUUUCGAACACCGGAGUAAUGAUUAACAGGGACAGUCAGGGGCACUCGUAUUCCGUCGAGAGAGGUGAAAUUCUCAGACCAAUGGAAGACGAACUACUGCGAAAGCAUUUG